RNAcentral lists this ribosomal RNA (253 nucleotides) under uncultured bacterium. RNAcentral's name for it is "partial 16S ribosomal RNA". It matches the Rfam family "Bacterial small subunit ribosomal RNA", at positions 524 to 776 of the family's 1533-position model. The record is from RNAcentral.
UACGGGGGGGGCAAGCGUUGUUCGGAAUUACUGGGCGUAAAGCGUGCGUAGGCGGUCCCGCAAGUCCGCUGUGAAAGCCCCGAGCUUAACUUGGGAACUGCAGUGGAAACUAUGGGACUUGAAUCCGGCAGAGGGGGGUGGAAUGCCACGUGUAGCAGUGAAAUGCGUAGAGAUGUGGCGGAACACCGAUGGCGAAGGCAGCCCCCUGGGCUGAGAUUGACGCUCAGGCACGAAAGCGUGGGGAGCAAACAGG